AGACGUCCUCUACCGUCUCACCACUGGGUGUUAGAUUAGAGGCAGGGGGCGGUGCUGACCUUGAGAGCGCGCGGGAAGGCGCAGGCGCAGCACAGCAGAGCAACUGGAGAACCUAAUUCUGACCAACAAGGAGGAAUUGCUUGGCUAAUUGGAAGUGACAGAAACCUUGGGAGAAAACAACUGCAUACAAAGGAUAAUUAUAAGAAGGUAAAAUGGGCCCUAAAGGAUAGCAUCAAGAAAUCUGAAGCCCCCAAAUGAGGUCAUUUCAGUUUGAUGUCAAGAAACACUUCCAAAUAGAAGUGUGGACAAGAGGUGAGUGAAUUCCCAGUCACUUGAAGGAUUCAAGCAUAAAUUGUCAUCUACUCCAUUAGAUAUUGUAGAAGAAGUCCAAGCAUCAGAAGUGUGGUUUUGGUGUGAUUCCAGCUGUGUGAGAAGUUAUUUUGCUUUUUUGGGAUUUAGUUCUCUGUAAAACAGGGAAGUUUGACUAAAUUGCUGCCCCAUUACUUUUGAGCUUUAAAUUGUUUUGGUUCUGUAGUAGUGUAAUUACAUUAUGCUGUCUUUUUUCAGAUUUACAUAAUAUUGUCCUUUUGUCAUUUGAAAUACAUUUCACUAUACUUGUGAGCACUACCUGAGAUAUUUUUUGAAAAGUAUUUGUAAAAAUGCAAAAUACUAUGUAACUGUAAGGCAUCAUUAUAGUUCAACAUCAUUGGCAAUUAGUAAAAUGCAAAUUACCACCGCAAUGAGAUACCACUAUACACCUAUUAGAAUGGCUAAAGUAAAAUAAAAUACUGAUGAUACCAAGUGCUGACCAGAUGCAGAAUAACUCUGUCUCUCAUACUUUGCUGAUGGGAAUAAAACUUGGUACAAACAUUCCAGCAAACACUUUGGCAGUUUUUUUUUUUUUAAAUAAACAUGCCCUUAACAUAAGACUCUGUAAUCCAACUAUUGCAUAUUUACUCUAGAGAAAUAAAAACAUAUGUUCAUAGAAAAAUCUCUACAUAAAUGAUCAUACCAACUUUAUUUGUGAUAAAUUUUAUGCACCCCAGAUAUCCUCCAGUCGGUGAGUGAAUGACCUGUGGUACAUCCAUAUCAGAGGAUACUUCUCAGCAAUAAAAUGGAACAAACUUGAUACACAGCAGCUUACAUGGAUCUCAAGACUAUUAUGCUGAUUGGAAAGCCAAUCUUAAAAGAUUAUAUAUAGUCUGAUUUCACAUAUAUAAUAUUAAAAUGGCAAAAUUAUAGUGACAUAGAACACAUCGGUGGUGCUAGGUGUUAGAGUUGGGGAGGGUGUGACUAUAAAGGGGUUACUCUGGUGUGAUAGAAUAAUUCUAUAUUCUAAUUGUGAUCACUACAUGAAUUUAUUACAUAUGAUAAAAUUGAAUAGACAAAUGCACCAAAAAAUUAUGUUUACCUUCAAGGUUCUGGAAAGUAGGGAAAUUUAUAUCUCUAUUCACUUUUUGUUUUUGUGUUUAGCUAUGAACUGUCUUAUAGUCAAUAAGAUGGAAUGUUUUUAUAUGAAACAUUUUCCUUCCUGAAGAAUACCAUAGAAAUAAUGGUGUGAGGUAUAAUUAUUUGAUCGUAAUUUACUUCUUUUCACCUUCUUUUCUGUAAAGGAGUAAAUGACUAAAUGUUAAAGUAAAUUCAGGUAAAGCUCACUUUAUUUAUAUUUUAUUCUUGGUUUUAAAUUUUACAAUCAUAUUUUCAAGGAAGCCUCUGGGAAAAUCAUUUUUACAUGAAUUUUCACAGCUCACUCAAAUGUGAUCUGUUCUUUACUAUUUAUAAAGAAACUCUCAGCCUUGCCAGGUUCUACUGUAGCUACUGCUUCUGUUUAUACUUAACUAAAUUUACUUCCAUUCAUGUUGUAGAAUAAACACAGGAGCUUGAAAUUAAUUCCUAUCAUAGGAUAAGAUCUAUUUUUUAAAGAUUUUUAAAAAUUUAUUUCCUAAGAGAGGA
Long non-coding RNA from Phyllostomus discolor (pale spear-nosed bat), 1953 nucleotides. RefSeq lists it as uncharacterized. Lineage: Eukaryota; Metazoa; Chordata; Mammalia; Chiroptera; Phyllostomidae. The transcript is spliced from 3 exons. The record is from RefSeq and is a predicted model, not a curated record.